CGGGUGCGGAACACGUACACAACUUUCCUUUAAGUGGAGGAUAGCCCAGAGAAAUUUGGAUUAAUACCCCGUAAUAUUAUGAAAUGGCAUCAUUUUAUAAUUAUAGCUCCGGCGCUUGAAGAUGGGUGUGCGGCUGAUUAGGUAGUUGGCGGGGUAACGGCCCACCAAGCCUACGAUCAGUAACUGGUGUGAGAGCACGACCAGUCACACGGGCACUGAGACACGGGCCCG
Molecule: ribosomal RNA, 231 nt
Filed under: uncultured bacterium
Lineage: Bacteria
Description: partial 16S ribosomal RNA
Rfam family: Bacterial small subunit ribosomal RNA
Source: RNAcentral